AAGUCACAACUAUACAAGACACUACUAAUAUAUCCAAAUUCAACAAAGAAGUAAGGCACGCGCCCUGCACUACAAGACAGAUAGGAUCCAUAGACAUAAUUUACCUAGUGAAAACCCUGUCUCUCUCAAAAACUAGAUCUCUUCCUUUUCUUUCACUCUGACCUGCCAUGCUUUCAUUCCGAUGUCGCUAUUAACAGGACUCGAGCCCAGGCAUACUAUAAUUAAAGUACAAAUCCAAGGCAAGGAAGGGAACCGGGGGAUAUCGGAACUGACCCCACACUAGAAAGAAUGGAACUAAAGGCAAACAGGCUUGAGCUCCAGGACUAUUAGAACAGAACUAGGGCAUAUGAUACUGCCGCUGUUGCUGACAGGACUUGGGAGCUACUGCUUCUAAUACAAAAACAGAGAAAUAGGGCUUGAA
Molecule: long non-coding RNA, 421 nt
Filed under: Musa acuminata (dwarf banana)
Lineage: Eukaryota; Viridiplantae; Streptophyta; Magnoliopsida; Zingiberales; Musaceae
Description: long non-coding RNA (MACU_LNC010977)
Source: RNAcentral